AAAUUGAAGAGUUUGAUCAUGGCUCAGAUUGAACGCUGGCGGCAGGCCUAACACAUGCAAGUCGAACGGUAACAGGAAUCAGCUUGCUGAUUCGCUGACGAGUGGCGGACGGGUGAGUAAUGUCUGGGAAACUGCCCGAUGGAGGGGGAUAACUACUGGAAACGGUAGCUAAUACCGCAUAACGUCGCAAGACCAAAGAGGGGGACCUUCGGGCCUCUUGCCAUCGGAUGUGCCCAGAUGGGAUUAGCUAGUAGGUGGGGUAACGGCUCACCUAGGCGACGAUCCCUAGCUGGUCUGAGAGGAUGACCAGCCACACUGGAACUGAGACACGGUCCAGACUCCUACGGGAGGCAGCAGUGGGGAAUAUUGCACAAUGGGCGCAAGCCUGAUGCAGCCAUGCCGCGUGUAUGAAGAAGGCCUUCGGGUUGUAAAGUACUUUCAGCGGGGAGGAAGGGAGUAAAGUUAAUACCUUUGCUCAUUGACGUUACCCGCAGAAGAAGCACCGGCUAACUCCGUGCCAGCAGCCGCGGUAAUACGGAGGGUGCAAGCGUUAAUCGGAAUUACUGGGCGUAAAGCGCACGCAGGCGGUCUGUUAAGUCAGAUGUGAAAUCCCCGGGCUCAACCUGGGAACUGCAUCUGAUACUGGCAGGCUUGAGUCUCGUAGAGGGGGGUAGAAUUCCAGGUGUAGCGGUGAAAUGCGUAGAGAUCUGGAGGAAUACCGGUGGCGAAGGCGGCCCCCUGGACGAAGACUGACGCUCAGGUGCGAAAGCGUGGGGAGCAAACAGGAUUAGAUACCCUGGUAGUCCACGCCGUAAACGAUGUCGACUUGGAGGUUGUGCCCUUGAGGCGUGGCUUCCGGAGCUAACGCGUUAAGUCGACCGCCUGGGGAGUACGGCCGCAAGGUUAAAACUCAAAUGAAUUGACGGGGGCCCGCACAAGCGGUGGAGCAUGUGGUUUAAUUCGAUGCAACGCGAAGAACCUUACCUGGUCUUGACAUCCACGGAAGUUUUCAGAGAUGAGAAUGUGCCUUCGGGAACCGUGAGACAGGUGCUGCAUGGCUGUCGUCAGCUCGUGUUGUGAAAUGUUGGGUUAAGUCCCGCAACGAGCGCAACCCUUAUCCUUUGUUGCCAGCGGUCCGGCCGGGAACUCAAAGGAGACUGCCAGUGAUAAACUGGAGGAAGGUGGGGAUGACGUCAAGUCAUCAUGGCCCUUACGACCAGGGCUACACACGUGCUACAAUGGCGCAUACAAAGAGAAGCGACCUCGCGAGAGCAAGCGGACCUCAUAAAGUGCGUCGUAGUCCGGAUUGGAGUCUGCAACUCGACUCCAUGAAGUCGGAAUCGCUAGUAAUCGUGGAUCAGAAUGCCACGGUGAAUACGUUCCCGGGCCUUGUACACACCGCCCGUCACACCAUGGGAGUGGGUUGCAAAAGAAGUAGGUAGCUUAACCUUCGGGAGGGCGCUUACCACUUUGUGAUUCAUGACUGGGGUGAAGUCGUAACAAGGUAACCGUAGGGGAACCUGCGGUUGGAUCACCUCCUUA
RNAcentral lists this ribosomal RNA (1542 nucleotides) under Escherichia coli. RNAcentral describes it as "16S ribosomal RNA". It matches the Rfam family "Bacterial small subunit ribosomal RNA". RNAcentral also lists the same sequence under 1 other name. The record is from RNAcentral. Lineage: Bacteria; Pseudomonadati; Pseudomonadota; Gammaproteobacteria; Enterobacterales; Enterobacteriaceae.